Molecule: long non-coding RNA, 1937 nt
Organism: Ictalurus punctatus (channel catfish)
Lineage: Eukaryota; Metazoa; Chordata; Actinopteri; Siluriformes; Ictaluridae
Exons: 9
Source: RefSeq, a predicted model, not a curated record
GCUUGAGUGUGCGGGCAUACUUGACCAAUAAAACUGAUUCUGAAUCUGAUUCAGAAAAAUGGCAGUGAUCCGUACGGAAGCCGAAGGAAUCGACUCUUAUUGAAGAGCUGAGUCAAAGGAUUCGGUUCACUUAAAAGAGCCAGUGCUUUCCGUCACUGAAGGAAGUGAAGUGCGCGGUGAAAAAGCAUCAUAAUGGACGCUACAGUGGCAUGUAAUAAUUGUGGCUUACCGUACACGUUGUCUGAGGGUGAGGUUGUGGGGAGGCUGCCCCAUGUGCUCUUCUGUGUGGAGUGUCUCUGCUCUCUGGAGUGUCCUCAGGACUCCAACUCUGUCCCCUCAGUCAGCUGUCCCGAGUGUAGGCCAUGCUGAGGGAGGUGUUGACUAAAUUAGAGAUGGUGCUGGACCAACAAACCACUGAGAUUGCUUCAACUACAGGAGGUCCAGCUGCAGCCUUUGGAUGUUGAAGAUUUACUGCCCUGCAAGACCUUCCUCAACUGCGUAGUCUGGAGCGAAGGAUGCAACAGAGCCCAGAUUACAAGCAAGAUCUGUUCAUAGAAACCUCUUUACGCCUAAAGCUACAGCGAUGGAGGUCGAGGGGACCAUGAAGAGGUGGCUCCAGCUGGCAUCAGAUCAAGAGUGUGGGUGCAAGAGAAGUCUUUUGCAAAAAGAAGCUACCAGGAAUCCUGAAGAAGGACUAGCGCAUUGGAGCGGUCGUGCUGCACGUGGGGGCAAACAUCAGGCUGUGGCAGGCGGAGGUUCUGAAGAGGGACUUCUCCAGCCUGAUCGAGAUGGUACGAGGCAGAUCACCCACCGCGAAGAUCAUCGUCUCUGGACCUCUUCCCUCAUACAGAGGUGGAGCUGAAAGGCUCAGUAGACUUCUUGCUUUGAAUGACUGGUUAGUUUCUUGGUGUAAUGAACAGAAUCUGCUGUUUGUUAAUAACUGGAAUCUGUUCUGGGAUCGGAACUGCUGUCAGACAACAUCUCCAAGACGCUACAGACCAAGUGACUGUCUACCGUCAAAUUAUUCAUAAACAUGGAAUGAAUUUCCACUGUUAUGCUGAUGAUACAGAGCUGUAUGUUUGCAACUGAACAAUAACAACAAUAAACAACAACUGAAGAAUAGCGAAAAACUUCUGUUUUCGUGCUUACUUGAAGACGAUGAGGCGGAGCAGCAUCGGAGAGACAGUUCGCUCCAUUCUCCAAAGAAUCGGGGAGAACAGUCUGUAAUGUAUGUUUUUGUUGAAAGUGUCAAAAGGUGGGAAGCUGGCUUUGACUGAUCAGGAUGAAGUGUAUCGCCUUGUACACUAUAUUGCCGAACAAGUACAUGGACGUGAAUAUACUGUUGCCGGUUGCAGAGAGGCCAUCGGCAGCUACCUAAAAAAUGCCCCAGGCAGGAAAAGUGGCAAGAAACAUAUUAUGAGUGUUUAUGAUGAAGCAGAGCUACGUGGGAUCUCCAGUGCGUCCUGCAAGAAUUGGGCCUGAGUCCAGUUCAGAUUCAAUUUUGUAAUCUCAUUCCUCUCCCUUGCGUGACAGCCUCCAAACAGUACAAUUCUAAUGAGCUUGAAUAUACGGGGAAUUCCAUUGGGUUUGAUGUCUGACUAAUUAAAGACCCACCUCUUCUAUGAACACCUAACCAACUCAUAAUAAAAAAAAAAUUAUUUAAAAAAAAAAAUGCACUUACACCUCUAGUCUGCACUUUGCUUCUUCUAGAAUUCAAUGAAUAGAUCUUGUAUGGUAGCUGCUCUUGUAUUGUUCUCUGCUUGAUAUAUCGCUUUGCUUGUAUCUUUCUUAUUUGUAAGUCGCUUUGGAUAAAAGCGUCUGCUAAGUGAAUGUAAUGUAAAUGUAAUAAAUUGUUUUCUUUGAUUAGCAAUACAUAGGUACUAUAUCUGGCUGUUUUGUGUGUUACAAUAUUGAAUGUCACUUUUCAGCUAUUCACU